RNAcentral lists this non-coding RNA (189 nucleotides) under Desulforamulus ruminis. Its description in RNAcentral is "6S RNA". It matches the Rfam family "6S / SsrS RNA". Rfam says of the family: E. coli 6S RNA was the first non coding RNA to be sequenced, but its function was unknown until recently. It consists of 184 nucleotides that fold into an extended hairpin structure with a large single-stranded internal bulge. The record is from RNAcentral. Lineage: Bacteria; Bacillati; Bacillota; Clostridia; Eubacteriales; Peptococcaceae. RNAcentral also lists the same sequence under 1 other name.
ACUGCCCUGCUUUGUGCGUGUGCUACCUGGGGUUUUGAGCCAACAUUUUUUGAAAGGGAGCCCGAUUCUUCGUAAGGGAAUGUAGACCUUACCUGUAUAAGGAAACAGGAAAUUACGGGAGGGCACCCACCUGUUUGAGAGAACAGGUUCAAAAAACUUUGGGUUGAUGCACGGCACGGUGGGGUUACC